Molecule: non-coding RNA, 623 nt
Organism: Corylus avellana
Lineage: Eukaryota; Viridiplantae; Streptophyta; Magnoliopsida; Fagales; Betulaceae
Source: RefSeq, a predicted model, not a curated record
CUCCUCCUCCAAAGAAGUCACCUCCUCCUCCUCCUCCAACGAAGUCACCUCCUCCUCCUCCACCAAAGAAGUCACCUCCUCCUCCAAAGAAGUCACCUCCUCCUCCUCCACCAAAGAAGUCACCUCCUCCUCCUCCUCCUGCAACGAAGUCACCUCCUCCUCCAAAGAAGUCACCUCCUCCUCCUCCACCAAAGAAGUCACCUCCUCCUCCUCCUCCAACGAAGUCACCUCCUCCUCCAAAGAAGUCACAUCCUCCUCCUCCACCAAAGAAGUCACCUCCUCCUCUUCCUCCUCCAACGAAGGCACCUCCUCCUCCAAAGUAGUCACCACCAACCUAUGUUGACCAAAACAAACACUAUUUGUACUAGGUUGUGUAAGCUAAUAAAGCCUUAUAAAGAAUAAUUGGUGCUGAAGUUAUCAGAUGCCAUCGUCAGGCGUUGUUUAUUACAAUGGUUCAACGCCAAUCAAGGCAACCUACUUAAUUGAGACAAGUGGGCAUAUAUAAUAUACAAUAAAGGACAAAAUAUGAUUUUACUCUCUUUAUUUAAGAUAUAAUAAAUUUGUGUUUCCUAUACGUCGAGCCUAUUUGUUCAUCAAUACAAGUAUGCUUAAGGUUUCUUUUA